CCUCCUUCCCGCAGCGGGGAGUCCCUGCUGGGGGGGUCUCCUUCGCGUGUGCGGUGCUGGUCCGCGCUGCGCUCUGAGUGACCCUCUCAAGCAUCACUGAAGUGAGUCACGGUUGAGCUCGUCCUGCCGGAACUGGACUCGCUGAAGGGCAAAACUCAAGAUCAACCCAGGCAUAAAUUUCUCAUAUCACGAGCAGGGGUGCCCAGGGGUUGUCAUUUCUUAUCGUGCUUUUACGUGGUCCCACAUAUCUGCUCCACUUCUCUGUCUUUUCUCUUGCUUUUCCUACUGUUCACUUGUUUCCUUCCUGACACUGUUGUUGGUAGGAAGUUGCGAUUUGGGUUUGUGUUGUUUAUUCUUUUUUUGUUCUCCUUCAUUCACAAUGAAUGCCAAGGGACAUUUAAAAAAAAAUCCAGUUCCUAGUUUGCGAGGAGCUUGAAGAACAGCAGGAAGAUGGUUGUGUGGAAGGGAAGUGACGGAGGGACUGAGCAGAACGGUUCAAGAAGGAGCAGAUGGAAACAGCUGCCAACAGAUGAGUACUGGAACAGAUUCAAGCCACACUACUUGCUGGAACUUGAGAGUUUGUGAUGGCCUGAGCUUACCCAGUGACAGGUUCUGCAUCCUGCAGAAUAUUGGACUGGAACCUGUGUGGCAUAAACCGAAGAUUUCAGACUAUUUGUUUGUAGCCCAUGCUGGAGUGUUUCUGUAGACCAAGGCAGGCUGGACUUUGGUUCUUAAACUGGGCUCCUGAAGAUGUAUAUGAGCAUUCAGGGCUGAUCCUACAAGACAAAGUUUGUAAAUGUUGGAUCAGUCUUACAUUUGCUCCUAGGUCUGUCAGAACUAAACACAAGCUCUGAACCAAAUAUUGCUACCUGCAAAAUAUUUAGUCAUAGACUGGGAUAUAUUUCUUUCAGUAACAUACUGUCCUCUUGAUGCACAGGGGAGUAGAGAAGCUCCAGGCAUUUGUUUUAAAUAUAUUACCUCAGAAAGAAACAGGGAGAAAUAAUACAGGGAACAAUUUUCCUUACUUAAGUCCCCAAAUAAAUAUAUUUUUAACCCAAAAAUGUAUUUAUUAGUACUGAUAGCCUUUGGCCCUACUCCAGUGGACUUUUCUCAAUGACAUCAGUGGAAGAAAGGUGGGCUCUGCAUAGGAAAUCUAUGAAUAUUUUUUCUUCAUCAUCCAUCCAUCCAUCUAUUUUGGGAUGUGCUAAAUGCCUGUUCUCUGUUGUAACAUUAACAUCAGUAUGUGGAAACUUGGGUGCUAAAAUAAAUCAGUGAAAUGCAAUAUACAUGACUUCACAUGGAACUACGUGUACAUUGUUGAGCACAAGCGCCCUGUGCCCGCUCUGCUGUGCCAGCUUGACAGCCAGGUACACCCUGUUGUGUCCCACAUAGGUGGGGUGCUGUGGCAAGGCAGGCAUAAACUGUGUGCUGCCAGUAUAUACAGAGCCUCUGUAGUUUUUCGGUUGCCAUUUAAUGACAGGAAGAUUGAUACUUUUACCAACCUCAAAUUAUAUGGGGAUGACAAGAUCUUUAAUAUUUCACAAAAGCAUUUUUUGUAUUGUGGGCCUGAUCAAGUGUUUGCUGAAGGCAAUGAAAGUGUUGUUAGUGAUAUGUGAGGCCCUGAUUUGUGAGGUAACUGUCUCUCUUUAGUGUUUGUAACUUAGUGAUACUUAGGCAUCCAACUAACCUGGGCCAUUUUUCUGACCUUAGUAGACACCCUCCUGUAUCAUGCUAGUAUGAAUUAGCACAUUCUCAAAUUCAUUUGAUUUUUAUUUUUACUGGAAAAAUGAAAGGGAUAAGCUCAAUCUUUGUGGCCUGGAGUGUUUUCUGCCCAUAGUGAUAUCAAUAGGAGACCUUUACGAGGUUGGACUUUGAAGAUACUGAGGGGGCAGUCCUGCCUUGGAGUCCCCUCCGAUCCGUGGGAGUCUGGUCUGCUCCACAGAAUGGUCCUGAGCCUCAGCACUGAUUUAUCAUCAACCAUGACCACAAGCACCUGGAUGUGGAGGGAAAUCCCCAUGGCUGCUACCUUUUCUGUGCCUCUGGGACAGGGAAAAUCAGCAAACUUGAAGCACGACUGCCUCAGGAAGAAAGAGAAGCAACUGCGCUGCUCUGCUCAACACAAGGCAGCUUGCCCCCCUCCACAGAACACUGAUCUUCAAGGCCAUACAUGAUUAAAGGAGUCGGAGAUAUUCCCUGGAAUUAGCUGUUCCCUCUUUACUUUUCCUGCUUGAAAGGUAAGAAUUGUACGAAUUCCCUUUUUAAUAGUGACUUAACAGAGAUACAAUGAUAAUCUGUCAUCAGAGUAUUUAGAUGACGAUAUCUAGAUUGGUUUUCAGUGUGUUUUUCGUUUUUAUUCUACUGUUAUGUUUAUACAAAAGCCAUAAAUCAUAGGUUGUUUCACACUGGUUGUAGCUGCUGGAUAUUCUUAUCCAGAUGCACAGAAGUGCCCUGAUGGUUACUUUCCAAUGACAACCUGCUCAGGGUUUAACAUUUUUCAGUUGCAUGGAAAGCUUUCAAGGUUACACAUAUAUACUGAAUGAAACACAGCCCACUGGUUAUUUUUAG
Molecule: long non-coding RNA, 2565 nt
Organism: Chiroxiphia lanceolata (lance-tailed manakin)
Lineage: Eukaryota; Metazoa; Chordata; Aves; Passeriformes; Pipridae
Exons: 3
Source: RefSeq, a predicted model, not a curated record